GUAGUUAAUUUCUGAAAUGAACAAAACGGGUCUAAAUAAUGAUUACAUUCAAAGAAUUUAUAAUGUAAACUAAUACAAACAACUAUCCCAAAUGACUAGUCUAGCAAAAAUAUCAUUUGUUAAUUCAAUGCGUCCAUGUGUGCUUAAGAAAAUUAAAACAAACCAUCAGUACUGUGUGGCCCAAUCAACAUCAUCACCUCUGCAAGUGUCCAAGUGUGAACACAGCAGUGGUUCUCCAACUCGAAAUGGUUCCUAUCAGUCAGCACCGGAGUGUGGGGAGCUCAGGCACAUGCUAGCAUCACAGGCUAUACCAACAGGUGGAUCUGUGUGUGUUCCUGUGCUAUUUCCCAAAUACUUAAACCAUGGAAUGGUUUUUGAGAUAGAUAUUUCGCAUCCACUUCUUAAAGGCAGAAGAAGGCUGUAUCACUUAUCUCUUGCAGUAAAACUGAAUUACACAUUGAUGACUAUUUGCCCACCUCCAGAGAGCAGAGUUUAUCUUAGUUACAAACCUUGAACAGCAUUACAUGAGGCCAGUUUUCCUGUGCUUACUUUGUCUAGAAUAUUUCAGACAAUUUUGAAAAGAAUUCUACAUCUUUCUUACCACAUUACACAGUAUAAUCCACCUUAAAUAAGAUAGCAUACGGUAUCUAAUGACUGUUCCCAA
RNAcentral lists this long non-coding RNA (664 nucleotides) under Rattus norvegicus (Norway rat). RNAcentral's name for it is "long non-coding RNA NONRATT016910". Lineage: Eukaryota; Metazoa; Chordata; Mammalia; Rodentia; Muridae. The record is from RNAcentral.